ACCCAAAAUGACCCAAAACACCACAAAUGAUGAAACCUCUUCAUUUUCCCCGUACACAACACUCCACCAACCACCCCAGGGCGCCACCAGGCUGUCCCCGAGGUGCCACCCCCUGUCCCCAAGGUGGCACCGGGCUGUCCCCAAGGACUGUCACCCUGUGUCCCCAAACACCCCAGGACCUCCAUCCCCGUGACCUGGAGGUGACCCAGAACCAGGGGAGGUGACACAGAACCAGAGGAGGUGACCCAGAACCAGGGGAGGUGACCCAGGACCAGAGGAGGUGACCCAGAACCACAAGAAACGACCCAAAAUGACCCAAAACAAUGAAACCUCUUCAUUUUCCCUGUACACAACACUCCACCAACCACCCCAAGGUGCCACCAGGCUGUCCCCAGGGCACCACCAGGCUGUCCCCGAGGUGCCACCAGGCUGUCCCCAAGGUGCCACCAGGCUGUCCCCAAGGACUGUCACCCUGUGUCCCCAACCACCCCAGGGUCCCCAGGACCUCCAUCCCCAUGACCUGGAGGUGACACAGAACCAGGACAGGUGACCCAGAACCACAAGAAAUGACCCAAAAUGACCCAAAACAACGAAACCUCUUCAUUUUCCCCGUACACAACACUCCACCAACCACCCCAGGGCGCCACCAGGCUGUCCCCAAGGUGCCACCCCCUGUCCCCAAGGUGCCACCGGGCUGUCCCUCAGACGGUGGCCUCGCUGUCGGGGCUGUCCCCGCCGUCCAGCAGCGCGUAGGCCGCGUGGCUCUGGCAGGGGCGCUGCAGGGGAUGCGCCAGCAGCUUGGCCAUGCAGUUGUGCAGCUCCAGCGCCGGCCCCGCCAGCGCCACCUCGUACUUGUAGCUGGUGCCUUUGGUGUCCAGGCUGCCGAAAAACCCAAACAUGUCCUGCCAGAGGGGACAGGGGACGCUCAGGGAUGGGGACAAUCGGAUGGGUUUGUCUCCCCAGGGGGGAGGGUGAAGCGGAAUCGCGGAGGAAUUCUGGUUCUGACGGUGCCGAUGAGGAGGAAUUGGAUUUGGUCGCCUUGUUUUGAUUUAUGGUUUUGUUGUUUGUGUGUUGUUUGUUGCUGAAAUUUCUC
This 1093-nucleotide long non-coding RNA is filed under the name Parus major (Great Tit). Its description in RNAcentral is "lncRNA (ENSPMJG00000004487.1)". The record is from RNAcentral. Lineage: Eukaryota; Metazoa; Chordata; Aves; Passeriformes; Paridae.